Long non-coding RNA from Cyanistes caeruleus (blue tit), 1874 nucleotides. RefSeq lists it as uncharacterized. Lineage: Eukaryota; Metazoa; Chordata; Aves; Passeriformes; Paridae. The record is from RefSeq and is a predicted model, not a curated record.
UGUCCUUUGUCACCAGCAGCCCCCACCCCUUCCUUGGGAGGGAAACAGCAGAAGGGGACAGCGGAAGAUAAAAAAGUAAAGCAUGUGUGACAGGAAUAAGCCAGAUCAGCCGGAGGUGUGAUGUUUAGCCGAGAAAUCAGUAGAAAAGCUCGGGUAGCACAGCCCGGGCGCUGCAGAGCCAGAGCACCGGCGGCGAGCACGAAGGAAUUCUGACAUGGAAAUUUGAGGAAACAACGAGAAGGGAACUUGAGAAAACAACAGCUCAGCGUCUGAAUUCGUUCCUACUGUAAAAUGCAGGGGUUGGCAUGGGACAAGCUUAGAUCAUCCUUCACUUCAUCCCUUCACUGCGGCCAAAGUAAGGUUGGAGUGGACUGAAUAAAGGAAAUACUGUCAGUGCUGCCUUUUCCUUCAAGCAGAACAAACACUACUGAAACAAGAGGAGAAACCCUUCAGUCUGAGGCAAGGAGCAAGCUGGGAACAGCUAGACUGCAGCACUCACAGUCAUUUGGAAAGCCAGCCUUAAUCAUUUGAGGUGGAAACUGAACAGGAAAAUAAGGCAUUUUCUCAAAACAACUCCUCAACCCUGUAAUAAGGGGAAAAGGCUCAAGGGAUGAAGGACAUCUUACCCAGGAGCACAGGAAAGGUCGGAACAGCAUCCAGCUGGAAUCUAACCUGCCUUGAACACACUUCUGCCUGUGCUCAAAGAAACAAACUCCUUCAAUAUAGCAAAUACAAUUACAUCCUGCUGCACCCUUCCAUCAUCACAGAAGCAAAUAAAACAAUGGACACUUCUCAUGUUGGACUUCGGCAAAAGACAUUUAUUAUUAUUAUUACUGUUGUUGUUGUGUUGCUGUUGUACCUCCUCUGCUCUGCCCACAGUGGUGGCAUAAAUGCUGUUACCACAUUGUAGCUGAUGAUGCCGGUGUACAAAUCAAAAUCCAUCUUAAUUUCAAACUCCAUUAGAAACACAGGAAAAAAGAUCAACAUUUACGAAAUGUAAAGGGAAAAAUGGUAUGGAAAGAAAUUUUUUUUUUUUAUUUUUCAAGCUUCCAAGACAGUAUUACAAACAACAGAGAGCAAAGUAAAGCUAGAAAUGAAAUACUUGACAGCAUCUGUUUAAAAAUUACAGCUAAGAAACCUAAUAAAAGUUGAAUAAACAGUUACUAGAAAUAAAAAUUUUUACACAUAUGAUAUUUGUCUGGGAUUUUUAUUUCUUUAAAAUAAUUCAUACAAAUGGUUACAGUCACAAACAUGAUUUUAACCAAAAAUAUUGCUAGCCUACCACAUUACCAGGAAGGAAUCAAUGUAGGCAAUGAAAUGCUGCUACUUUUCAGUAGUCUAGUGCCUUUUCCAGAUACCACCAAUAAUAUAUACUUUAACUGGUGACAAAAAGCACAAUGCUCGUUUAUACAAAACCUCUUUUUUCCUCAAAAUCUCUUUGCAAGGUUGUCUUCAUUUUGAAAUAAGGGAAUUCAUGCCAAAAUUAGGAGAAACUGUUUUUCUUUUGUUUACUAAAUUAUUCUAAAAAAUAAGACAAGCAGGUAGAAAAAACAAUGCACUGUGUGGCGUAGAAAGAAAAAUGGGAAAAAUUCAUUGUCCUGAGAAGUUUGCCAACUGCCUCUUUUUUGGGCAUGUUUGAAAAUAUAAAAGAAAGGAUUUUUAAUCUCAAAACUGGUUUGUUGAAUGCCUCCCUUAUGUUUUUCCUUGUUGACAGCUAAGCAAACAAACCCUUUUUAAUGUUCUAGAAACUGUACACAGACAAGUACAUUCAUGAUAUAAUUAACUACUAACUUCUCUUGCUUAACAAAGAACCCAUAGGACACAGAAACAGUGAAUCAGUCCACUGGACAGGGACAAACUACAAUUUAUACGGA